UGCCGUAACCGCGAGAGAAAAAGAUCCAGAGAAGGAAGCAGAGAUGGGGAGGUGACUAUGGAAAGACUAAUCUUAUCUCCCCACCCUGAGAGGAAAUCACCAGUUAUAGGAAUUCAAACUUCCAGUUUUCCCAGGAGUCUUCCAAGGAUCCUGUCAGGUGACUGAAAGGAAGAGAGGGGACAGAAGGAAAACCAAACCUCUACCCUGAGCUCCCAAAAUGCUG
RNAcentral lists this long non-coding RNA (223 nucleotides) under Vombatus ursinus (common wombat). RNAcentral's name for it is "lncRNA (ENSVURG00010003226.1)". The record is from RNAcentral. Lineage: Eukaryota; Metazoa; Chordata; Mammalia; Diprotodontia; Vombatidae.